UACGGGGGGGGCAAGCGUUGUUCGGAAUUACUGGGCGUAAAGGGCUCGUAGGCGGCCAACUAAGUCGGAUGUGAAAUCCCCAGGCUUAACCUGGGAACUGCAUCCGAUACUGGAUGGCUUGAAUUCGGGAGAGGGAUGCAGAAUUCCAGGUGUAGCGGUGAAAUGCGUAGAUAUCUGGAGGAAUACCGGUGGCGAAGGCGGCAUCCUGGACCGAGAUUGACGCUGAGGCGCGAAAGCCAGGGGAGCAAACGGG
This 253-nucleotide ribosomal RNA is filed under the name uncultured bacterium. RNAcentral describes it as "partial 16S ribosomal RNA". It matches the Rfam family "Bacterial small subunit ribosomal RNA", at positions 524 to 776 of the family's 1533-position model. The record is from RNAcentral.